UGAGGAAUAUUGGUCAAUGGCCGGGAGGCUGAACCAGCCAAGUCGCGUGAGGGAAGACGGCCCUACGGGUUGUAAACCUCUUUUGUCAGGGAGCAAGAGGCGGGUCGAGACCUGCUGUGAGAGUACCUGAAGAAAAAGCAUCGGCUAACUCCGUGCCAGCAGCCGCGGUAAUACGGAGGAUGCGAGCGUUAUCCGGAUUUAUUGGGUUUAAAGGGUGCGCAGGCGGAGGCACAAGUCAGCGGUAAAAUCGCGGGGCUCAACCCCGCUCCGCCGUUGAAACUGUGUCCCUUGAGUGCGCGAAGGGUAGGCGGAAUGCGUGGUGUAGCGGUGAAAUGCAUAGAUAUCACGCAGAACUCCGAUCGCGAAGGCAGCCUACCGGCGCGCAACUGACGCUCAUGCACGAAAGCGUGGGUAUCGAACAGG
Molecule: ribosomal RNA, 423 nt
Filed under: uncultured bacterium
Lineage: Bacteria
Description: bacterial SSU rRNA
Rfam family: Bacterial small subunit ribosomal RNA
Source: RNAcentral